AAUAGAUACCCAGGUAGUCCACGCCGUAAACGAUGAGUGCUAAGUGUUAGAGGGUUUCCGCCCUUUAGUGCUGCAGCUAACGCAUUAAGCACUCCGCCUGGGGAGUACGGUCGCAAGACUGAAACUCAAAGGAAUUGACGGGGGCCCGCACAAGCGGUGGAGCAUGUGGUUUAAUUCGAAGCAACGCGAAGAACCUUACCAGGUCUUGACAUCCUCUGACAACUCUAGAGAUAGAGCGUUCCCCUUCGGGGGACAGAGUGACAGGUGGUGCAUGGUUGUCGUCAGCUCGUGUCGUGAGAUGUUGGGUUAAGUCCCGCAACGAGCGCAACCCUUGAUCUUAGUUGCCAGCAUUAAGUUGGGCACUCUAAGGUGACUGCCGGUGACAAACCGGAGGAAGGUGGGGAUGACGUCAAAUCAUCAUGCCCCUUAUGACCUGGGCUACACACGUGCUACAAUGGAUGGUACAAAGGGCUGCAAGACCGCGAGGUCAAGCCAAUCCCAUAAAACCAUUCUCAGUUCGGAUUGU
This 526-nucleotide ribosomal RNA is filed under the name uncultured bacterium. RNAcentral describes it as "bacterial SSU rRNA". It matches the Rfam family "Bacterial small subunit ribosomal RNA", at positions 777 to 1301 of the family's 1533-position model. The record is from RNAcentral.